Molecule: long non-coding RNA, 395 nt
Organism: Choloepus didactylus (southern two-toed sloth)
Lineage: Eukaryota; Metazoa; Chordata; Mammalia; Pilosa; Megalonychidae
Exons: 3
Source: RefSeq, a predicted model, not a curated record
UUGAAAUUCCAACUUCAUCAAAAGGGGAAACUGAGGCUCACAGAGAGCAAGCAAUCUGUUGAUCACCUAUCAGGGCUACAUCACCAGUCUCACUGGGGUGAUGGAGUUUCAGGAGGACAGCUCGAACCCUUAUGUGCAGUUUGAAAUCCCCGUCACGACCUAUAGCGAGACCUUCGGCAAAGACAUACGCAAGGAAAGAAAACAGAGGCUCAGAAGGGAAGGCUCCAUUGGGUCUGGGCCUCUGAUGCUGGAGCACAGGCCUGGCAGGGGCUCCUUCUCUCCAGUGGAGACAAACAGACCUGCCCUGGACAUGCUACCACCAGGCAAGGGGCAGAGCCUGGAUGCCGACGAUUCCCGCCAGCAAGAGAGCUGCGGCCUCCAUCCCUGGCUCUCGG